UGUGGGAUCACGACUGAAUCCAGAAGACACCGACCAGUACAGAAGAUGCGAUUUAUAUUCGUGUUAACGUGUCUUCUACUCCUGAACGAAAAUACACUUUUCCGGUAUGUAUAAAAUUGUUUCUUAGCGAUAUAAAAUUCAUUUUGCAAUUAAAACUAUAAUGCAACAUGCCGGUUCAGAAAAACGGACAAUAUGUUGAAACAAGAAAAAUUACAUGUUGGAGAAUUUUUGAAGUUUUGUAAUGUAAACUGUGUGGAAUUAGCUCCCUUCCCUGUAUGUUUUGUUGCUGACGUUACUAACUCUUUCUACAACAUCAAAGUUUAGAAAAAAGGAAUAUUGACCAAUAUGCAUUUUGGACUAAAGGAGAAUAGUUGCUCUUCAUGUUGCAUUUGCUUCAAGGUAUAUAUAACGAUGAUUAUCGGUUGCAUCAUUUUAACAGGCCCUCACCGUAUAGCGCCGGCAGCCAUCUAUCAAACGGUCCUAAACUAAAGGUCAAUAAUAUAAAGUAAUAUUGAAGUUUUCUGGAUCUUAACCACUUGAGAUCUUUAAUCAUUAAAUCAAAGUUUCAAAAUAAAAAAAUAAAUCCCUCUCAAUAAAUUUUUGUUUAUCUUUACAGGUCCAGAUACCAGUACAACAAAUACGCUGAUGCUGACAGAUCUGGACAUGAUGGAUUAUUUUGGGUAAUACUAUAAAAUGUUUGAUUUUGUAUUGUUUUAAUUUUCAUUUUAUUAUUUGCGCGGGAGAGGUUGUGGGUGCCCAAUAUCCUUCAAGUAUUGUUCGAGUUAUUUAUCCAUUUCAUUUUUGUAUGAUUGUAUAUUUUUUUAUGUAUCGUAUUUAGUAAAUAAGUCAAAGGAGUAGGUUCAGUAAGACCCCUUUUUGGUCCCAAAAUAUAACAGUUUUACAAAAUUGUUAAAAUGUCAACUUUUAGUUAUUUAUUGGACAGUAGAAUGCUUCUGCUACAUAAUUAUGGGCUGUUUUUGACAAUACAAUGCAUAUAUAUAUCCGGUACUAGCACCAUUAAGUCAUGCUAAAUUACUGAAAUCUUCACAAUUCUAGCAUUUUAGUUAAAUUUUAGACGGUUUUCGUGUAAAACGAAAGUGGCCGCAUUCGUGUUCAUCCUUAAUAUUGAAAUGCAAGUUGUAUUUGAUGAUAAUACAUAACAUAUCAUGUAUAUUGAGGAUGAACACGGAUGCGGCCACUUCCAUUUUUUCCAAAAACCAUCUGAAAAGUGACAUUUUUCGGCAUAUUUGGUAGAUUUUUCAUAUUUGAGCUUGCAUCGGAUCGUUUUUAAUGACUAAAUCAGUUAAAAUCUUUCCCAUAAACUAAUUAAUUCAAAUAAAAUAGACACUUAAGUAUUUAAAAAGUGGUCAAAAUCUUUCGUCAGAUUAACCUGAAAUUUGAGGCCAAAAUCGGUCCUUACCGGACCUACUCCUUUGAAACCCGACUACAAAGAAUAGCAUAUGCUAAACAAAAUGGCAAUAUUAUAAGAUGUAAAAUAAAAUCAGUGUGUUUAAAUAUUUAUGACCCAUCCCAUCAAAAUACCAACCAACAAGCGAAUGCAAAGAAAGAAAACUCAGAUAUUGGCAUAUACAUGAAUACGUCGACUCGCUCGCAUCAGUGAAAUGCAGAUUAGUACAUCAAAAUUCUUUUUGAGUUCAUAUUAAACUUGGAUUAAAUAAGAAAAUAUCAAAUACCAGCUCGAAUCUGCAUGCCUUCGAUUACCUCACAGUGAAAAUACUUCAUUUAUUGUUUUUCAAUAAAAACAAUAUCUAGGAUUAGGUUUUACAGGGAUUCAAAUGUACAUAUAUAUACAUGUACGUAAGUGUGAGACAUCAACCAAACUAAACACUUAAAUAGAAAAUGUAUCAAGAGACCAUUUUACCUGCUUUCAAGGUAAUCGAUUACACUAACACAUAGUGCGGUGACAGAAGUGUAAAAAGUCGUCUAGAUCGCGAGUUUAAUCUCCCUAAAUAACACACGGCUAAAAAUGGUCUUAACUUAAAGACAAAUAUGUCUUCUUUAGUUUUUGCCCUGUCGUCAGAAUUUCGUACGGUCACAUUUUUCUAAAAAGUCGUUUUAAUGACUAGUAGUAUAUUGGAGAGUUUCAACCCCCCCUUUUCAAAAUGAAAAAAUGUGUAUGUUUUCUCACAUUUAAUUGAAAUAGUUUUUCCUGAAGCCAUUUUUAUAUUUCAAAAUAAUAUAUUUAGUGUUUUAUUUUAUUCUAAUCUAUAAAAUUUGCGAAGUUUGGACUGUUUAAAAUUGAGGUAAUUUUAAUUGCAAAUUCAGACACAAACUUUGGUUUCUUCUUCAUAGCAGUAAUAAAAAUUAUCCCAUAAUACUUUAAGCAUAUAGUAUUUCAUAAAACUAAUAAGUGAUAAAAAUUUCGAAACCAAAAUAUGAAAAAAACCUUAAGAAAUCAAUGGAAAAAGAAUGGACUAAAAACUUCAAUUUCAACACGGAACUUAAUCACUUGCCUUCCGUCACAUUUUGUGUAUUAGUCAAUAAUUUGCUCUCAACUGACAUAUGGAAUUACUAUCUUUUUCGCUAUUAUAUACACAUAUUUUCAAUUAAAGUGAACAUAUAUGCCACAAACUUUGUUUGUAUAUGUUUAUAUUCUAUGUUUUUUGUUAUAAAACAUCAAAUAUACUUUGUCAGAAAAGUCUUAUUGUAAAAUCAAAAUAAUUGACGGAUAGUUUCAGUAAAUAUUCCGUGAUAUGUGAAGUCCGUUGCAACUUGCUCCAAUAAGUCCAAAGAAAAGAAAAAAGUCGUUCAAUUUUAUGCAGUGCUUAAUAUGCAAAAAAAAAAAACUCAACUGGAAUUUUGAGUCAAUUUAACCAUAUAGGGAAGUCGAUUUUUGUAUCUGCAUCGAAUAAAAGAUUGGAUGAGGUGAACAUGUUUCAUGAAAAGGCACUUGUUUCUGUCAAUAUGGGUUUACUAUCCAUACCCGUACGAAAAAUCACCCGUACGGGUAUGGAUAGUAAACCCCAUAUUGACAGAAACAAGUGCCUAUGAUUUCAUGCGAUAGCUGUUAAUUCGAAGAACUCCGUGCAGGCAGUUUACCAUCGUUCAUGCUACAAAAGUUACACAAGUAACAUAUUUGUGCCCCCUUUUAGAGCGAGGAAGCUUCUUAUCUGAUAUUUAAUGACGACAUACAAUUAUCGGACUGUUGUCCCACAGUUUCGAGUAUUUGUAUGCGUUCUAGAAUGCAGUCGUUCAACUGGAGAGCUUGUACAUUUUGUUGCAACAAAACAUUUAAGAAAUAUCAAAAAAACUACGCAAGUUUGAAUCAGAUGAGCGUAUGAAAAAUGUUUUAUCCGUGUCAGACAAAGUUAAAAUUGAAAUAGUUUUUCCGUCCAUCUUUUAAACUUCAAGCACUCUGUCAUUUUGGUUGCAUUACAAAUCAUUUGCUAAAAACGAAAAAAGACCAAAAUAAAUCCAAACCCGUGGAAGCAGAUAUCUCAGAUCAGGAUACUGCUUUUACUAAUUUUAUUUUGGCUAUUGACAACGAUUUAAUGGUCAUUCCUCGUGACACCGUUACUUGAUAAAUAUAGAUCUACUCUAAUUUAAAAUAUUCUACUUGUAACAUGCGGUCUAAACUUAUUGAUUUCUAUAGAAAUUCAGUUGUCAAACAACAAGUUCAAGGCAAAUAUAACAUAAUAUAUAGUAGCAACAUAACUAUUUGAGAUGCAAUAUAUUCAGCUGCUAGGCAAUUGAAAACUGACCUCAAAAUAUUAAUGUCAACGGUAAUAGACACAAAUAACGGAACGAUAUUUCAUUCCGCUGCAAGUAUACUUAGAAAAGACAUCGAAACUCUAAAGAAGAAUACCCAACUUCGGAUGAAUUGUCUCUUCCUUCUUCAAUUCAUUUUAUAGUUACUCGAUGAAACUGCAUACAGCCAAGACCAUUCUCAGGAAAUGGCACCAGAGAAAUUGCGUAAAUGAUAAGAAAUUGUUAAGUCAAUCGUGUGUGUGGCCAAUUUUGUUUUACUCUUUUUUUAUUUAGGAUUGGCUUUACAAAUGUACCAUGAGUUUGGUUCAAAACACCUUGUUGAAACAUUGAAUGCCAAUGGACUUUAUGCUUCUUAAAGUAAAGUGCGACGCUAUCUGAUGUAUUGCCAACCAUGAAAUUGGAAUUCAAGAUAGUGUGUACAUCUCGUAUAAUGUUUCCUCAGCAUCUUUGCAGACACGCAUAUGGAUGUCAUCACACCUUCCUAAACCCCCUUUUAGAUCUCUGUUAAAUCUUGGAUGAAUUGAUAGGGAUGGUUUGAAGCUGGUAUUUUUUUAGGAACAAAACGGUGGAUGAAAAUUAAGAUGAUGAAGAUAACGAUUGAUUUGGUAUAAAGCUUGUUGCACUGGUACACCCAGGUUACAGGAGCGUUGGUGCGCCCUUAAAAAAGUUUAACCCGGCCACAUUCUGUAUGUGUCAGUUUCAAGUCACGAGAUGGUAAUGCAGUGUUUGUCGUUUGUUUCUAUUUGUUUCUUAUUCAUUUUGUACAUUAAUCGGGCCGUUAGAAUUUUCGUUUGUUUUACAUUAUUUAUUUCGGGAAUUGAAGACUAUGCAGUAUGAAUUUUACUUAUUGUUGAAGCCCGUACGGGACCUAUAAUUGUAAGUUAAUUUAUGUCUCAUUUGCAAUCAUAUCACAUCUUUUUUUUUUAUAUGGAAUACUUUUGAAGUUUGUGGUACGUUGUAAGGAAAAAAAGGGGGGAUAUAUAGGUACAAAACCUAUAAUGUAAUAGAUUUUAAACAGAGUAAAAUACACAACAGAUAAUACUAUGGAAGCAGUAAUAAUUGUGAAAAAAAAACCAAAAGCAACGAGCAAUCUAUAAAAAAAAACCUGAAGUAUCCGCAAAUUCAAUUUGAGGUCAUAUUUGACUGUAGUGUUUUAUUGCUUUGGUUUGAUACCUCACCCAAUAUGAUGGUUUAAAAAAUAAUUUUAAAGUAUUGUCCUGCAUGACACUUGAUGUUUACCUGAAAUUGAAAUUUGUCAUAAGGUUAAGGUGCUCUAAACAUUUUAUAGGUUGAAAACUUGAUUUUUGAAGUUUGGUUUAUAAAACGUCGUUUUAUGAUUUUUUUUGAUAAAAAAAUCUCAAUGAUUAAGGUUUAUGUAUAAUAAAACACAUUACUAAAGCCAAAACAGUAUCAUUUGUAUUUAGGUAGAGUUUAGAAAUAUAAAAAAAUGUCAAAAUAGAAACCCUCCCAAAUUUUCACAGAUUUUUACAUAUGAUCUUUGACCUCAAUUUUAAAAAAAAUGUGACCAUAUCAAGUCUUGACGACAGGCAUAUUAUUAUAGUACACGAUUUCCUCUUUCCAAUGAUAUAUUAUAUAGGUGUGUGUUCGGUGGGGAGAUUAAAUUCAAAAAAAUCUGCCUUCAGUCACCGCACUAACAUGCAUGUAUCAUAAGGCACAGAUAACUGCAUGUGAACAUUAAGCAAACUAUAAAUAAUAGCUGAUUUAACCCUUUUUUACGCAUUCACAAACUGUAUAAAACAUCUUACAUGAGGAAAAGAUGUGUGUAUAUUUCAACAGGUCAGAAACCUAGCAACACAAUAAAACCUGAAUAAAAAAAUUGACAAACAGAGACGACAAAUGAUACCAAAUGGGAGUGUCAAAACUUCAAAUCGAAAAGGGGCCGACAAUAUCAUGCCAAACAAGAGAAAAAGGGACAAAAAGACGAACAACAAUCUACAGAAAACAACAUAAAUAGAGCAAUACAACUCUUACAAAAAAUAUGUUUACUUUAGUCCUAUCUAACAUACGCUACAUGUGACACCCUUCUACCCCAUUACUUUAGUCAUAUCUAUCAUACGCUACAUGUGGCACCCUUCUACCCCAUUCGAAUUUACAGUGUAUUUUCUUUUUACUUUUAGGGUCAACUUAGACAUCUUGAUGUCGUUUUGAUGUUGCUGUAUCUUUUGAUAGCUUACAUUUCAUACAAGGUGCUUUGAUUUAUCAAGAGAGAUCAUCACGAAUC
RNAcentral lists this long non-coding RNA (5971 nucleotides) under Mytilus galloprovincialis (Mediterranean mussel). Lineage: Eukaryota; Metazoa; Mollusca; Bivalvia; Mytilida; Mytilidae. The record is from RNAcentral.